GAUGUGGCUCAGUGGUAGGGUGCUUGCCUAAUGUGUGAAGCCCUGGGUUCAAUCCCCAGUACA
Molecule: transfer RNA, 63 nt
Filed under: Marmota monax (woodchuck)
Lineage: Eukaryota; Metazoa; Chordata; Mammalia; Rodentia; Sciuridae
Description: tRNA.Ile
Source: RNAcentral